Lynx canadensis (Canada lynx) is the source of this 135-nucleotide small nuclear RNA. Its record names the gene U4. It matches the Rfam family "U4 spliceosomal RNA". Rfam says of the family: U4 small nuclear RNA (U4 snRNA) is a component of the major U2-dependent spliceosome. The structure of U4 snRNA from yeast and human has been reported. NCBI's taxonomy places the organism in Eukaryota, Metazoa, Chordata, Mammalia, Carnivora, Felidae. The record is from Ensembl.
AGCUUUGCACAGUGGCAGUAUCGUAGCCAAUGAGAUUUAUCCAAGGCGCGAUUAUUGCUAAUUGAAAACUUUCCCCAAAAAUGAAUAAACUUAAAAAAUUUUUUUUAAUUUCGGCAUGACAAUCCAUCUUAUGGA